GUGCUCACCUCAGUGGCAGCAUAUAUAAUAAAAUUGGAGCCAUCCAGAGAUUAGCAUGGCUCCUGCACAAGGAUGACAUGAAGGUCCACGAAGCAUUUUGAGUUUAG
Small nuclear RNA from Cricetulus griseus (Chinese hamster), 107 nucleotides. The record is from Ensembl. Lineage: Eukaryota; Metazoa; Chordata; Mammalia; Rodentia; Cricetidae.